CCUACGGGAGACAGCAGUGGGGAAUAUUGCACAAUGGGCGAAAGCCUGAUGCAGCAACGCCGCGUGAAGGAAGAAGGGUUUCGGCUCGUAAACUUCUAUCAGCAGGGAAGAAAGAACUGACGGUACCUGAAUAAGAAGCUCCGGCUAACUACGUGCCAGCCGCCGCGGUAAUCCGGAGGGGCCACGCGUUAUACGGAAUUACUGGGGGUAAAGGGUGAGUGGGCGGCAUGGUAAGCCAGCUGUGAAAGCCUUGGGCUUAACCCGAGGAUUGCAUUUGGAACUAGCAAGCUAGAGUACAGGAGAGGAAAGCGGAAUUCCUAGUGUAGCGGUGAAAUGCGUAGAUAUUAGGAAGAACACCAGUGGCGAAGGCGGCUUUCUGGACUGAAACUGACGCUGAGGCACGAAAGCGUGGGGAGCAAACAGGAUUAGAUACCCUUGUAGUC
This 443-nucleotide ribosomal RNA is filed under the name uncultured bacterium. Its description in RNAcentral is "partial 16S ribosomal RNA". It matches the Rfam family "Bacterial small subunit ribosomal RNA", at positions 338 to 795 of the family's 1533-position model. The record is from RNAcentral.